GACGAACGCUGGCGGCGUGCUUAACACAUGCAAGUCGAACGGAAAGGCCCUGCUUUUGUGGGGUGCUCGAGUGGCGAACGGGUGAGUAACACGUGAGUAACCUGCCCUUGACUUUGGGAUAACUUCAGGAAACUGGGGCUAAUACCGGAUAGGAGCUCCUGCUGCAUGGUGGGGGUUGGAAAGUUUCGGCGGUUGGGGAUGGACUCGCGGCUUAUCAGCUUGUUGGUGGGGUAGUGGCUUACCAAGGCUUUGACGGGUAGCCGGCCUGAGAGGGUGACCGGCCACAUUGGGACUGAGAUACGGCCCAGACUCCUACGGGAGGCAGCAGUGGGGAAUAUUGCACAAUGGGCGGAAGCCUGAUGCAGCAACGCCGCGUGCGGGAUGACGGCCUUCGGGUUGUAAACCGCUUUCGCCUGUGACGAAGCGUGAGUGACGGUAAUGGGUAAAGAAGCACCGGCUAACUACGUGCCAGCAGCCGCGGUGAUACGUAGGGUGCGAGCGUUGUCCGGAUUUAUUGGGCGUAAAGGGCUCGUAGGUGGUUGAUCGCGUCGGAAGUGUAAUCUUGGGGCUUAACCCUGAGCGUGCUUUCGAUACGGGUUGACUUGAGGAAGGUAGGGGAGAAUGGAAUUCCUGGUGGAGCGGUGGAAUGCGCAGAUAUCAGGAGGAACACCAGUGGCGAAGGCGGUUCUCUGGGCCUUUCCUGACGCUGAGGAGCAAAAGCGUGGGGAGCGAACAGGCUUAGAUACCCUGGUAGUCCACGCUGUAAACGGUGGGUACUAGGUGUGGGGUCCAUUCCACGGGUUCCGUGCCGUAGCUAACGCUUUAAGUACCCCGCCUGGGGAGUACGGCCGCAAGGCUAAAACUCAAAGGAAUUGACGGGGCCCCGCACAAGCGGCGGAGCAUGCGGAUUAAUUCGAUGCAACGCGUAGAACCUUACCUGGGUUUGACAUGGAUCGGGAGCGCUCAGAGAUGGGUGUGCCUCUUUUGGGGUCGGUUCACAGGUGGUGCAUGGCUGUCGUCAGCUCGUGUCGUGAGAUGUUGGGUUAAGUCCCGCAACGAGCGCAACCCUUGUUCACUGUUGCCAGCACGUUAUGGUGGGGACUCAGUGGAGACCGCCGGGGUCAACUCGGAGGAAGGUGGGGAUGACGUCAAGUCAUCAUGCCCCUUAUGUCCAGGGCUUCACGCAUGCUACAAUGGCUGGUACAGAGAGUGGCGAGCCUGUGAGGGUGAGCGAAUCUCGGAAAGCCGGUCUCAGUUCGGAUUGGGGUCUGCAACUCGACCUCAUGAAGUCGGAGUCGCUAGUAAUCGCAGAUCAGCAACGCUGCGGUGAAUACGUUCCCGGGGCU
RNAcentral lists this ribosomal RNA (1346 nucleotides) under uncultured bacterium. RNAcentral describes it as "bacterial SSU rRNA". It matches the Rfam family "Bacterial small subunit ribosomal RNA", at positions 28 to 1381 of the family's 1533-position model. The record is from RNAcentral.